Long non-coding RNA from Cavia porcellus (domestic guinea pig), 845 nucleotides. RefSeq lists it as uncharacterized. The transcript has 2 exons. Lineage: Eukaryota; Metazoa; Chordata; Mammalia; Rodentia; Caviidae. The record is from RefSeq and is a predicted model, not a curated record.
GAGGGGGUCCCCACUUCCCACUUGGUCUGCUCACACCCUCUAGGGCUCCUUUCCUUCACACAGGUCCCAGGCAGCUCCUUGGCCAGGAAGCACUCUGCACACAGCACUGAAUUCCCAUUGAGCUUCGUAUAGAAUCUAUACAGAGAAAGGGGUACAGCCCUAUUUGGGGUUCUUGAACUUUCCAUUGGGAUCAGCACUGAGGAAGCUCAUACUGAUCAUCCAGGAUACUGUUUAACAUCAGUUCUGUAUCAAAAGACACUUCAGGUAUCUGUGUGUCUACUCAAGAUAGUUUGCGAAGACAUGUCUAACUCUGUGGAGCACAACCAUUGACCGGCGCAGCUCCCCAAUGAGACAGGAAACGCUUCAGGUGGGAAGGGAAGCCCCUGGAAGGCUCUGGCAGGCAUCCUGUACUCACCAGCUGGGCAGCACUGGCAGCAGAGAUCAUCAGACAAGCACUCGCCUGGAUUACAAGAGGUCACACUAAUUGCCACAGUCACCUGAAACAGAAGAGACAUUGUCAUUAUCAACAGAUGCCCAUAUUGGUUGGCAGUUACUGUCUCUGCCCCCAGAUGGGCAGAGCUGAGACAUUAUUUCAAAACAAAAAAACAGGAAAAAUGGCUGGGGAUGUAGUUCACUGUGAAGGCCUUGAAUUUGAUCCCCUUUACUUCAAGAUGAAAAAGAAGGAGGAGCAGGAGGAGGAAGAGGAGGAAAGGAAAAUAUGAAUGAAUGGGGGCUGGGGUUUUAGCUCAGCAGCAUAAACGCCUGCCUUGCAAACAGGCAGUUGUGAGUUUGAUCCCCGGUACUGAUAAAAAGGAAAAAGACAAAAAAAAAAAAAAAAAAGAGAA